RNAcentral lists this ribosomal RNA (450 nucleotides) under uncultured bacterium. Its description in RNAcentral is "partial 16S ribosomal RNA". It matches the Rfam family "Bacterial small subunit ribosomal RNA", at positions 354 to 796 of the family's 1533-position model. The record is from RNAcentral.
GUGGGGAAUAUUGGACAAUGGGCGAAAGCCUGAUCCAGCCAUGCCGCGUGUGUGAAGAAGGCCUUCGGGUUGUAAACUGCUUUUGUACGGAACGAAACGGUCCUGGUUAAUACCUGGGGCUAAUGACGGUACCGUAAGAAUAAGCACCGGCUAACUACGUGCCAGCAGCCGCGGUAAUACGUAGGGUGCAAGCGUUAAUCGGAAUUACUGGGCGUAAAGCGUGCGCAGGCGGUUUUGUAAGACAGGCGUGAAAUCCCCGGGCUCAACCUGGGAAUUGCGCUAGUGACUGCAAGGCUGGAGUGCGGCAGAGGGGGAUGGAAUUCCGCGUGUAGUAGUGAAAUGCGUAGAUAUGCGGAGGAACACCGAUGGCGAAGGCAAUCCCCUGGGCCUGCACUGACGCUCAUGCACGAAAGCGUGGGGAGCAAACAGGAUUAGAAACCCCUGUAGUCC